UUCAGUGACAACUUCUGCAUCAUUAGUUCCAGAUGGGGCGAGGUGCCUGGCACGCGGCAGCACAUCUCCUCUGCCCACAGUAACAGCAGGACCCGGAGAGCCAUUUCCAGGAGUAGACGUCGGUAAUGACGACGCAUUUUUUUUUUGGCGUCACCGAAACCACGAGCACCACCCUGUGCUAUGGGCUCCUCAUUCUGCUUAAGUACCUAGAGGUGGCAGGUGUGCAACCCGGAGAGACCCAGAAUGGGAGGCUGCAGUCUGGGGAUGGCUGGAGGGUCCUGGAAGUGCGCAGCUCACAGCCUCCCCCGGCCUGAGCCAAGGUGCAGGAGCUGGACCCUGUGGUAGGGUGGAGGCCCGCCCCAAGCCUGGACUAUCGCGUGUGCCUGCCCUACGCCAACGCAGUGCUGCUCGAGAUCCAGUGCUUCAUCAGCGUGGUGCCCCUGGGGCUGCCGCGCACCCUCACCCUC
This 467-nucleotide long non-coding RNA is filed under the name Homo sapiens (human). RNAcentral's name for it is "non-protein coding lnc-CYP2A6-3:1". Lineage: Eukaryota; Metazoa; Chordata; Mammalia; Primates; Hominidae. The record is from RNAcentral.